GACGAACGCUGGCGGCGUGCUUAACACAUGCAAGUCGAACGGAAAGGCCCUGCUUUUGUUGGGUGCUCGAGUGGCGAACGGGUGAGUAACACGUGAGUAACCUGCCCUUGACUUUGGGAUAACUUCAGGAAACUGGGGCUAAUACCGGAUAGGAGCUCCUGCUGCAUGGUGGGGGUUGGAGAGUUUCGGCGGUUGGGGAUGGACUCGCGGCUUAUCAGCUUGUUGGUGGGGUAGUGGCUUACCAAGGCUUUGACGGGUAGCCGGCCUGAGAGGGUGACCGGCCAAAUUGGGCCUGAGAUACGGCACAGACUCCUACGCGAGGCAGCAGUGGGGAAUAUUGCACAACGGGCGGAAGCCUGAUGCAGCAACGCCGCGUGCGGGAUGACGGCCUUCGGGUUGUAAACCGAUUUCGCCUGUGACGAAGAGUGAGUGACGGUAAUGGGUAAAGAAGCACCGGCUAACUACGUG
This 468-nucleotide ribosomal RNA is filed under the name uncultured bacterium. RNAcentral describes it as "partial 16S ribosomal RNA". It matches the Rfam family "Bacterial small subunit ribosomal RNA", at positions 28 to 507 of the family's 1533-position model. The record is from RNAcentral.